CCUGAACGCUGGCGGCGUGGCUAAGACAUGCAAGUCGCACGGGACCCGCAAGGGUUCAGUGGCGGACGGGUGAGUAAUGAAUCGCUAACGUACCCCAGAGCUCGGGAUAGCUGUCCGAAAGGACAGGUAAUACCGGGAGACAUCGCCUGAAGGCAUCUUCGGGCGCUCAAAGGAGCAAUCCGCUUUGGGAGCGGGCGAUUUCGUAUCAGCUAGUUGGUGAGGUAAGGCUCACCAAGGCGACGACGCGUAGCCGGACUGAGAGGUUGGCCGGCCACAUCGGGACUGAGACACUG
RNAcentral lists this ribosomal RNA (293 nucleotides) under uncultured bacterium. RNAcentral's name for it is "partial 16S ribosomal RNA". It matches the Rfam family "Bacterial small subunit ribosomal RNA", at positions 30 to 329 of the family's 1533-position model. The record is from RNAcentral.